This 386-nucleotide ribosomal RNA is filed under the name uncultured bacterium. RNAcentral's name for it is "bacterial SSU rRNA". It matches the Rfam family "Archaeal small subunit ribosomal RNA", at positions 339 to 726 of the family's 1478-position model. The record is from RNAcentral.
GCGCGAAAACUUUACAAUGCUGGCAACAGCGAUAAGGGAACCUCGAGUGCCAGGUUACAAAUCUGGCUGUCGAGAUGCCUAAAAAGCAUUUCAUAGCAAGGGCCGGGCAAGACCGGUGCCAGCCGCCGCGGUAACACCGGCGGCUCGAGUGGUAACCGUUAUUAUUGGGUCUAAAGGGUCUGUAGCCGGCCGGAUAAGUCUCUUGGGAAAUCUGGCAGCUCAACUGUCAGGCCUUCAGGAGAUACUGUCUGGCUCGAGGCCGGGAGAGGUGAGAGGUACUUCAGGGGUAGGGGUGAAAUCUUGUAAUCCUUGAAGGACCACCAGUGGCGAAGGCGUCUCACCAGAACGGACCUGACGGCAAGGGACAAAGCUAGGGGCACGAACCG